UACCAGCUCUCCGAGUGGUGUGGAUGUUUAUUGGGCCUAAAGCAUCCGUAGCUGGCUGGACAAGUCCCCUGUUAAAUCCACCGAUUUAAUCGUUGGUGUGCGGGGGAUACUGUUCGGCUAGGGGACGGGAGAGGCCGACGGUAUUUCCGGGGUAGGGGUGUAAUCCUAUAAUCCCGGGAAGACCACCAGUGGCGAAGGCUGUCGGCUAGAACGCGCCCGACGGUGAGGGAUGAAAGCUGGGGGAGCGAACCGGAUUAGAUACCCGGGUAGUCCCAGCUGUAAACGAUGCAGGCUAGGUGUUUGGGCGGCCACGUGCCGCUCUAGUGCCGCAAGGAAGCUGUUAAGCCUGCCGCCUGGGGAGUACGGCCGCAAGGCUGAAACUUAAGGAAUUGGCGUGGGAGCACCACAAGGGGUGAAGCUUGCGGUUU
This 428-nucleotide ribosomal RNA is filed under the name uncultured archaeon. RNAcentral's name for it is "bacterial SSU rRNA". It matches the Rfam family "Archaeal small subunit ribosomal RNA", at positions 474 to 903 of the family's 1478-position model. The record is from RNAcentral.